Molecule: transfer RNA, 89 nt
Filed under: Saprospiraceae bacterium
Lineage: Bacteria; Pseudomonadati; Bacteroidota; Saprospiria; Saprospirales; Saprospiraceae
Description: tRNA-Ser
Rfam family: tRNA
About the family: Transfer RNA (tRNA) molecules are approximately 80 nucleotides in length. Their secondary structure includes four short double-helical elements and three loops (D, anti-codon, and T loops). Further hydrogen bonds mediate the characteristic L-shaped molecular structure. tRNAs have two regions of fundamental functional importance: the anti-codon, which is responsible for specific mRNA codon recognition, and the 3' end, to which the tRNAs corresponding amino acid is attached (by aminoacyl-tRNA synthetases). tRNAs cope with the degeneracy of the genetic code in two manners: having more than one tRNA (with a specific anti-codon) for a particular amino acid; and 'wobble' base-pairing, i.e. permitting non-standard base-pairing at the 3rd anti-codon position.
Source: RNAcentral
GGUGAGGUGGGUGAGUGGCUGAAACCAACGGUUUGCUAAACCGUCGUACCUCGAAAGGGGUACCGAGGGUUCGAAUCCCUCCCUCACCG